Mastomys coucha (southern multimammate mouse) is the source of this 317-nucleotide long non-coding RNA. RefSeq lists it as uncharacterized. The transcript has 3 exons. Lineage: Eukaryota; Metazoa; Chordata; Mammalia; Rodentia; Muridae. The record is from RefSeq and is a predicted model, not a curated record.
UAGACACAGCUCUGAUCUUCGUGCCUGUACAGGAUGGGGAAGGAAAGGUGUUCAUCUAAGGAAGUGAUCUUCUUGGGCAAGCUUUGCUGAGGACCCUCUUGAAGGUGUACAUGCCAAGGAAAGGAAGGAGACCAUGGUCGGUCACGUUGAGUCUUCCAUAUGAUGACUGUUUCACACUUGUUGGGCCAGCCUAUGCUGGGACUGUCUUUGGUUUCCUACAUGAAAGCAAGCCCUUGAAAAGGAAGAUAUGUUGAGUCUUGGAUGGAGACCUCCACACUCAGCUUCUUCCUCUUUUCUCAGUAAAGUUCACCACCUCA